AACGAACGCUGGCGGCAUGCCUAACACAUGCAAGUCGAACGAAGCCUUCGGGCUUAGUGGCGCACGGGUGCGUAACACGUGGGAAUCUGCCCUUCGGUUCGGAAUAACAGUUAGAAAUGACUGCUAAUACCGGAUGAUGACGUAAGUCCAAAGAUUUAUCGCCGAAGGAUGAGCCCGCGUAGGAUUAGGUAGUUGGUAGGGUAAUGGCCUACCAAGCCGACGAUCCUUAGCUGGUCUGAGAGGAUGAUCAGCCACACUGGGACUGAGACACGGCCCAGACUCCUACGGGAGGCAGCAGUGGGGAAUAUUGGACAAUGGGCGAAAGCCUGAUCCAGCAAUGCCGCGUGAGUGAUGAAGGCCUUAGGGUUGUAAAGCUCUUUUACCAGGGAUGAUAAUGACAGUACCUGGAGAAUAAAGCUCCGGCUAACUCCGUGCCAGCAGCCGCGGUAAU
Molecule: ribosomal RNA, 451 nt
Filed under: uncultured bacterium
Lineage: Bacteria
Description: bacterial SSU rRNA
Rfam family: Bacterial small subunit ribosomal RNA
Source: RNAcentral